This 492-nucleotide ribosomal RNA is filed under the name uncultured bacterium. RNAcentral's name for it is "partial 16S ribosomal RNA". It matches the Rfam family "Bacterial small subunit ribosomal RNA", at positions 29 to 507 of the family's 1533-position model. The record is from RNAcentral.
AGUGAACGCUGGCGGUAGGCCUAACACAUGCAAGUCGAACGGCAGCACAGUAAGAGCUUGCUCUUACGGGUGGCGACUGGCGGACGGGUGAGGCAUACAUCAGAAUCUACUUUUUCGUGGGGGACAACGUAGGGAAACUGACGCUAAUACCGCAUACGACCUACGGCUUAAAUCAGGGGUUAUUCGCACCUUUCCUGAUCGAUUUAGCCGAUGUCGGAUUAGCUAGUUGGCGGGGUAAAGGCCCACCAAGGCGACGAUCCGUAGCUGGUCUGAGAGGAUGAUCAGCCACACUGGAACUGAGACACGGUCCAGACUCCUACGGGAGGCAGCAGUGGGGAAUAUUGGACAAUGGGCGCAAGCCUGAUCCAGCCAUACCGCGUGGGUGAAGAAGGCCUUCGGGUUGUAAAGCCCUUUUGUUGGGAAAGAAAAGCAGCAGGUUAAUACCCCGCUGUUCUGACGGUACCCAAAGAAUAAGCACCGGCUAACUUCGUG